UACGUAGGGUGCAAGCGUUAAUCGGAAUUACUGGGCGUAAAAGGGUGCGCAGGCGGCUUGCUAAGACAGGUGUGAAAGCCCCGAGCUUAACUUGGGAAUGGCGCUUGUGACUGGCAGGCUGGAGUGUGGCAGAGGGAGGUGGAAUUCCACGUGUAGCAGUGAAAUGCGUAGAGAUGUGGAGGAACACCGAUGGCUAAGGCAGCCUCCUGGGCCAACACUGACGCUCAUGCACGAAAGCGUGGGGAGCAAACAGG
RNAcentral lists this ribosomal RNA (254 nucleotides) under uncultured bacterium. RNAcentral's name for it is "partial 16S ribosomal RNA". It matches the Rfam family "Bacterial small subunit ribosomal RNA", at positions 524 to 776 of the family's 1533-position model. The record is from RNAcentral.